AGCUAUUAGAUAGUAAUAAUAGUUUUUUCUGCUCAGUGCUAAUGUAAAUAGCUGCAGUAUAUUGACUGUACUAAGGUAGCAUAAUCAAUAGCUUUUUAAUUGAAGGCUGGUAUGAAGGGUUAAGACUAUAUAGAAGGUUUUAUCAGUUAAUUUUGAAUUUAAAUUAAUAGUAAAAAUUCUUUUAUAAAUCCUUGGGACGAGAAGACCCUAGAAGCUUUAAUGCAUUCGUAUUUUAGUUGGGGUGACUAAUGAAGAAAAUAAUCUUUAAUUUUUAAAGGAUUUGUUGAUUAAGUUACUCUAGGGAUAACAGCGUAAUUUAAUUUAAGAGUUCUUAUUAUAAAUUAAGUUUGCGACCUCGAUGUUGAAUUAAAUGGAAAUAAGGUGUAGAAGCUUUAUAGUUAUAGUCUGUUCGACUAUUAAAUUUUUACA
Molecule: ribosomal RNA, 429 nt
Filed under: Sandokan malayanus
Lineage: Eukaryota; Metazoa; Arthropoda; Arachnida; Opiliones; Sandokanidae
Description: partial 16S ribosomal RNA
Rfam family: Bacterial large subunit ribosomal RNA
Source: RNAcentral